RNAcentral lists this transfer RNA (79 nucleotides) under Actinoplanes couchii. Its description in RNAcentral is "tRNA-Met". It matches the Rfam family "tRNA". Rfam says of the family: Transfer RNA (tRNA) molecules are approximately 80 nucleotides in length. Their secondary structure includes four short double-helical elements and three loops (D, anti-codon, and T loops). Further hydrogen bonds mediate the characteristic L-shaped molecular structure. tRNAs have two regions of fundamental functional importance: the anti-codon, which is responsible for specific mRNA codon recognition, and the 3' end, to which the tRNAs corresponding amino acid is attached (by aminoacyl-tRNA synthetases). tRNAs cope with the degeneracy of the genetic code in two manners: having more than one tRNA (with a specific anti-codon) for a particular amino acid; and 'wobble' base-pairing, i.e. permitting non-standard base-pairing at the 3rd anti-codon position. Lineage: Bacteria; Bacillati; Actinomycetota; Actinomycetes; Micromonosporales; Micromonosporaceae. The record is from RNAcentral.
CGCAGGGUGGAGGAGUCCGGUCGUCCUCACCAGUCUCAUAAGCUGGAGAUCACGGGUUCGAAUCCCGUCCCUGCUUCCA